UGGGGAAUCUUGCACAAUGGGGGCAACCCUGAUGCAGCGACGCCGCGUGAGCGAUGAAGCCCUUCGGGGCGUAAAGCUCUUUCGACCGGAACGAUAAUGACGGUACCGGGAGAAGAAGCUGCGGCUAACUACGUGCCAGCAGCCGCGGUAAUACGUAGGCAGCAGGCGUUGUUCGGAGUUACUGGGCGUAAAGAGUGCGUAGGCGGUUUUCUAAGUUCGGUGUGAAAUCUCCCGGCUUAACUGGGAGGGUGCGCCGAAGACUGGGAAGCUGGAGUGUGGGAAAGGCAGGCGGAAUUCCUGGUGUAGCGGUGAAAUGCGUAGAUAUCAGGAGGAACACCGGCGAUGUAGACGGCUUGCUAGACCAUAACUGACGCUGAGGCACGAAAGCGUGGGUAGCAAACA
This 402-nucleotide ribosomal RNA is filed under the name uncultured bacterium. RNAcentral describes it as "bacterial SSU rRNA". It matches the Rfam family "Bacterial small subunit ribosomal RNA", at positions 355 to 774 of the family's 1533-position model. The record is from RNAcentral.